UACGGAGGGGGCUAGCGUUGUUCGGAAUUACUGGGCGUAAAGCGCACGUAGGCGGCUUUGUAAGUUAGAGGUGAAAGCCCGGGGCUCAACUCCGGAAUUGCCUUUAAGACUGCAUCGCUAGAAUUGUGGAGAGGUAAGUGGAAUUCCGAGUGUAGAGGUGAAAUUCGUAGAUAUUCGGAAGAACACCAGUGGCGAAGGCGACUUACUGGACACAUAUUGACGCUGAGGUGGCGAAAGCGUGGGGAGCAAGCAGG
RNAcentral lists this ribosomal RNA (254 nucleotides) under uncultured bacterium. Its description in RNAcentral is "partial 16S ribosomal RNA". It matches the Rfam family "Bacterial small subunit ribosomal RNA", at positions 524 to 776 of the family's 1533-position model. The record is from RNAcentral.